This 585-nucleotide ribosomal RNA is filed under the name uncultured bacterium. RNAcentral's name for it is "bacterial SSU rRNA". It matches the Rfam family "Bacterial small subunit ribosomal RNA", at positions 28 to 596 of the family's 1533-position model. The record is from RNAcentral.
GACGAACGCUGGCGGCGUGCCUAAUACAUGCAAGUCGAGCGAAUCAUUAGGAGCUUGCUCCUAAUGAUUAGCGGCGGACGGGUGAGUAACACGUGGGCAACCUGCCUGUAAGACUGGGAUAACACCGGGAAACCGGUGCUAAUACCGGAUAAUUCUUUUCCUCUCAUGAGGAAAAGCUGAAAGUCGGUUUCGGCUGACACUUACGGAUGGGCCCGCGGCGCAUUAGCUAGUUGGUGAGGUAACGGCUCACCAAGGCGACGAUGCGUAGCCGACCUGAGAGGGUGAUCGGCCACACUGGGACUGAGACACGGCCCAGACUCCUACGGGAGGCAGCAGUAGGGAAUCUUCCGCAAUGGACGAAAGUCUGACGGAGCAACGCCGCGUGAGUGAUGAAGGCCUUCGGGUCGUAAAACUCUGUUGUUAGGGAAGAACAAGUAUCGGAGUAACUGCCGGUACCUUGACGGUACCUAACCAGAAAGCCACGGCUAACUACGUGCCAGCAGCCGCGGUAAUACGUAGGUGGCAAGCGUUGUCCGGAAUUAUUGGGCGUAAAGCGCGCGCAGGCGGUCCUUUAAGUCUGAUGUG